UAGGGUUUGAUCAUGGCUCAGAACGAACGCUGGCGGCAGGCCUAACACAUGCAAGUCGAGCGCUACCUUCGGGUGGAGCGGCGGACGGGUUAGUAACGCGUGGGAAUAUACCCUUUUCUAAGGAAUAGCCACUGGAAACGGUGAGUAAUACCUUAUAAGCCCUUCGGGGGAAAGAUUUAUCGGUAAAGGAUUAGCCCGCGUUAGAUUAGAUAGUUGGUGGGGUAACGGCCUACCAAGUCUACGAUCUAUAGCUGAUUUGAGAGGAUGAUCAGCAACACUGGGACUGAGACACGGCCAGACUCCUACGGGAGGCAGCAGUGGGGAAUCUUAGACAAUGGGCGCAAGCCUGAUCGAGCCAUGCCGCGUGAGUGAUGAAGGCCCUAGGGUCGUAAAGCUCUUUCGCCAGGGAUGAUAAUGACAGUACCUGGUAAAGAAACCCCGGCUAACUCCGUGCCAGCAGCCGCGGUAAUACGGAGGGGGUUAGCGUUGUUCGGAACUACUGGGCGUAAAGCGUACGCAGGCGGAUUAGUAAGUUAGAGGUGAAAUCCCAGGGCUCAACCCUGGAACUGCCUUUAAUACUGCUAGUCUUGAGUUCGAGAGAGGUGAGUGGAAUUCCAAGUGUAGAGGUGAAAUUCGUAGAUAUUUGGAGGAACACCAGUGGCGAAGGCGGCUCACUGGCUCGAUACUGACGCUGAGGUACGAAAGUGUGGGGAGCAAACAGGAUUAGAUACCCUGGUAGUCCACACCGUAAACGAUGAAUGCCAGACGUUGGAUAGCAUGCUAUUCAGUGUCACACCUAACGGAGUAAGCAUUCCGCCUGGGGAGUACGGUCGCAAGAUUAAAACUCCAAGGAAUUGACGGGGGCCCGCACAAGCGGUGGAGCAUAUGGUUUAAUUCGACGCAACGCGCAGAACCUUACCAACCCUUGACAUACCUGUCGCGGUUACCAGAGAUGGUUUCCUUCAGUUCGGCUGGACAGGAUACAGGUGCUGCAUGGCUGUCGUCAGCUCGUGUCGUGAGAUGUUCGGUUAAGUCCGGCAACGAGCGCAACCCACGUCCUUAGCUACCAGCAUUUAGUUGGGUACCCUAAGGAGACUGCCGGUGAUAAGCCGGAGGAAGGUGUGGAUGACGUCAAGUCCUCAUGGCCCUUACGGGUUGGGCUACACACGUGCCACAAUGGCAGUGACAAUGGGUUAAUCCCAAAAAACUGUCUCAGUUCGGAUUGGGGUCUGCAACUCGACCCCAUGAAGUCGGAAUCGCUAGUAAUCGCGUAACAGCAUGACGCGGUGAAUACGUUCCCGGGCCUUGUACACACCGCCCGUCACACCAUGGGAGUUGGUUCUACCCGACGACGCUGCGCUAACCUUCGGGAGGCAAGCGGCCACGGUAGGAUCAGCGACUGGGGUGAAGUCGUAACAAGGUAGCC
RNAcentral lists this ribosomal RNA (1426 nucleotides) under uncultured bacterium. RNAcentral's name for it is "bacterial SSU rRNA". It matches the Rfam family "Bacterial small subunit ribosomal RNA". The record is from RNAcentral.